Molecule: long non-coding RNA, 380 nt
Organism: Neopelma chrysocephalum (saffron-crested tyrant-manakin)
Lineage: Eukaryota; Metazoa; Chordata; Aves; Passeriformes; Pipridae
Exons: 3
Source: RefSeq, a predicted model, not a curated record
GCGUGGGCCCAGCCUCGCAGGAGGAGGGAGCAGUGCUGCUGCAAGGGGCUGAUCCAGAGGGCGCUGGGUCGGUGCCGGCCGCGGCUCGUGUGGCUCGCGGAAACAAUGCUCAUUUAAAUAAUGAACAAUUCAUCUAUGGAGCUUUUGAAGAAUGUAAAUAUAUUCAAAUGACAUAAAAAACAUCUGAAGUGGAGACUCUGAGGGUUAUUCAGAGCUCAUUCGCCCUCUCUGCCCCAUGAAGGGAUCCACAGAAUAUUCUGAACUGGAAGGCACCACAAGGAUCAUCAAAGCCCAACUCCUGGCCCUGCACAGCACAGCCCCAAGAAUCACAAAUUCUAGAAGCCAUGUUGGAAACAAAGUUAUUAAACCUCUGCUUUGGA